RNAcentral lists this transfer RNA (74 nucleotides) under Nesterenkonia lacusekhoensis. RNAcentral describes it as "tRNA-Pro". It matches the Rfam family "tRNA". Rfam says of the family: Transfer RNA (tRNA) molecules are approximately 80 nucleotides in length. Their secondary structure includes four short double-helical elements and three loops (D, anti-codon, and T loops). Lineage: Bacteria; Bacillati; Actinomycetota; Actinomycetes; Micrococcales; Micrococcaceae. The record is from RNAcentral. RNAcentral also lists the same sequence under 9 other names.
CGGGCUAUAGCGCAGCUUGGUAGCGCGUCCGUCUGGGGGACGGAAGGUCGUGGGUUCAAAUCCCGCUAGCCCGA